This is a small nucleolar RNA of Malania oleifera, 106 nucleotides long. Lineage: Eukaryota; Viridiplantae; Streptophyta; Magnoliopsida; Santalales; Ximeniaceae. The record is from RefSeq and is a predicted model, not a curated record.
ACCUGGUGAUGUGGGCAUUUAUGGAAAAGGUCCCAAAAGUGCUCCCAAGUCUCGAAAAAGAGUUCCUAACUCAUUUGUGAGAAACUUGUGAUGGCUCUCUGAAGCU